RNAcentral lists this ribosomal RNA (251 nucleotides) under uncultured bacterium. Its description in RNAcentral is "partial 16S ribosomal RNA". It matches the Rfam family "Bacterial small subunit ribosomal RNA", at positions 60 to 339 of the family's 1533-position model. The record is from RNAcentral.
AGUCGAGCGAGGUAGCAAUACCUAGCGGCAGACGGGUGAGUAACAUGUGGGAAUCUGCCUUUUGGUUCGGAAUAACACGGGGAAACCUGUGCUAAUACCGGAUAAGUCCUUACGGAGAAAGUUUUAAUGCCAAAAGAUGAGCCCGCAUUUGAUUAGUUUGUUGGUGAGGUAAUGGCUCACCAAGACUACAAUCAAUAGCUGAUUUGAGAGGAUGAUCAGCCACACUGGGACUGAGAUACGGCCCAGACUCC